Long non-coding RNA from Perca fluviatilis (European perch), 410 nucleotides. RefSeq lists it as uncharacterized. The record is from RefSeq and is a predicted model, not a curated record. The transcript is spliced from 4 exons. Lineage: Eukaryota; Metazoa; Chordata; Actinopteri; Perciformes; Percidae.
GGGUCCUGCACCAAACUUCCUUACAAGAUGGUGCUACCAUUUCUUGUGCCAUGGGGAGAUGGACAAGGAUGUUGGUGUACUCGAAGUCACUGAUCAGGAUAUUAAAAAUCUGAUGACAGAGGUGGAAAAUGCAGAAGGUGGAGAAAGGCUGAUAGACUUAUCAGAUGCGAUUGUGACAUGUGGCUACACUGGGCUAAUAAAUGUUGACCAAAAAAAGGCCAUCACAGAUGCCAUCGCUUUGCAUGCACUGGUGAGGCUGAUCCCGAUCUUGAACCAGCUGCGUGAGGGAUUGAGGCUCUACGGAUUAGAUGAGGUGUUAGCACAGCACACCCAGAUGUGACAGCAGCUCUUUGUCCCCGGCCACUUACAGGAAGUGAAUGUAGACUUCCUUUCGCUUGCGCUUAUCUCCU